UGUUGAUGGCUGGACAUUGCAUCAUCGUAGAAAACUUGGAGGCCAGUGAGGACAAAAAUAAAAAGUUAUAAGACUUUGAAAUAUGUGGAUUUUAGGGUUAUCUUUGGUGCCCCCUAGAACCUAAACCGUGGGGUGCAAUGUCAUGAUUUGAAUAACUUUCAAUGGCCAUGGGGUGUAGAUUGGCCUGAGCAAAUGUGGUGCCAGUGGAACGAAAGCCUUCGGAGGAGUUAGCGAAAUUCCAAUGUGUGCGGAUCGGCAAAAAAUGCGAAAUAACCCUUUAACCGUACAUUUG
Xyrichtys novacula (pearly razorfish) is the source of this 292-nucleotide non-coding RNA. The record is from the annotation of a GenBank genome assembly. NCBI's taxonomy places the organism in Eukaryota, Metazoa, Chordata, Actinopteri, Labriformes, Labridae.